CUAACCUCGGGCAAGCAGCCGGUGCAAGAACGAGUGUCGAGGCUGUAUGCGGAAUUACUGGGCGUGAAGAGGGGUGUAGUGGGCAUAGUAAGCGGGUAGUGAAAGCGUGUGGCUCAACCAGACUCACAUUAUCCGAACUGCUAAGCGAGAGGGGGAGAGAGGUUACUGGAAUUCCCAGUGUAGGAGUGAAAUCCGCAGAUAUUGGGAGGAACACCGAUGGCGUAGGCAGGUAACUGGCUCGUCCCUGACACUAAGGCACGAAAGCGUGGGGAGCAAACGGGAUUAGAUACCCGAGUAGUC
This 300-nucleotide ribosomal RNA is filed under the name uncultured Okibacterium sp. RNAcentral's name for it is "bacterial SSU rRNA". It matches the Rfam family "Bacterial small subunit ribosomal RNA", at positions 497 to 795 of the family's 1533-position model. Lineage: Bacteria; Bacillati; Actinomycetota; Actinomycetes; Micrococcales; Microbacteriaceae. The record is from RNAcentral.